UCUCCUGACUUCCUGGCAGCCCCAGGCGACUGAGACCGGGACGGAAACUCAGAGGUAACUCUUCACUCGUCAGAGAUCCUGCGUGUGAGACCGAUUUCCGCACAUGCGCAGUGGUUGCCUCAGAGCCCAAUCUACACCUAGGUAGCCGCACUGUUGGUCCGCGAACGUCUGCGGCUAGGGACAGAUGUUCAAGACAGGCAGACACCUGUGCCUCAGCAUGGAGGAGAGCCUACCAUCAAGCCCACAAGCCCAGACAUGGUUACCUUUUUGCGUGGCCGAAGCUUGUCCCGCCAUUCCUUCAGGUUCUGGUUAUGGCUCUCAUCUAGAGCCUUCAGCUUCUGAGUUUCAUGUUCUACCAGGAGGUGACACUUUUCAUUCUGGAACAAAUUCCAGGCAGAACAGAAGAAAUUCUGUGGUAAGGAUGAGGACAUGGACCUGACUGACGCAUUCCCAACUUUACUGUUCUCUUAGGGUGGAGAAGCACCUUGCAGUUCCUAACAGAGCCCACUCUCUGGCGCCCACCUCGAAGGAGUUCCUGCUUCUUAGUGAGACACUCGCGCUCCUUGUCACAGAUCUCCCGCCUGUUGUCAGCAGUGAUCUUCUUCAUCGCCAGCUCCAAGUCCUCCUUCUGCUUGGCCAGGAAGUCCCGGUCCUGUGUGGGAGAGAGAAUAGACCUUUAGCACUGGCUUGGGCACCUCGCUCUCUACUGCUAUUACAGAAGAUAGGUCAUUACAAGCAGCGAAGAAAACAUGUGGAAAUGUGAGACUUAGAGACACGUCAACCAGUUGUGGCAUGUGCUCUUUAUGUGGACCCUGAUUCAAACAAAUUGUAAAACAGAAUUAAUGAGACAAUUGGAAAUGGAAAUAAUAAUUCAAAUGUAAAUAUGUCAGUAAUUAUUGUUAAAUACUUAAAGUUUUAGGUACAUUUAUA
Mustela lutreola (European mink) is the source of this 930-nucleotide long non-coding RNA. RefSeq lists it as uncharacterized. The record is from RefSeq and is a predicted model, not a curated record. The transcript is spliced from 4 exons. Lineage: Eukaryota; Metazoa; Chordata; Mammalia; Carnivora; Mustelidae.